AAAAGGAAAAAAAAGAGAGAGGUGGACGGGCCGGCCCGAAAAGACCGGGCCCAUCCACCAUAUACGAUCGUGCCUAGGGCACGAUCGUGGGAGAAGAAACACAAAAAAAAAAAAGGGAAGGGGGAGAGCGGCGGCGGCAGCGUCCGGGGAGAGGUUGGUCGCCGGAGGGGUUGAUCGCCGGAGAGGAGACCGAGAUCCGGCCGGCCACGGAGGAAGUUUUCUUCGGUGAAGACCUCCCGCAAACGGGAGAAAAAGCUUUGGACCCGUGCGUGUGCUCACGGAUUUCCUCCUCCGAUUGCUCGCCGGAAAGGCCGCCGGAGCACGCCGUCGGACCGAGGUAAGUGUGGCUUCCUUCUUUAUGCUUCAUUUGCUAGGAUUAGGGCCUUGUUGAUGGGGUGUUUGGUCGGUGAAUCGUCGGAGAAGAGCCCGAAACAGGGUACCCCUGUUUCGGCCUCUCUCUUCCGGAUUGUGCCGCCGCCGGCCACCGGGAUUGGCCGGGAUCUAUGGCGGUGGGGUUGGUCAGGUUGCUGUGAGGAUCGGAGAGGGAUUUCUAGGGUUUUAGAGGGGAUGGAGAGAGGUGGACCGAGAUCUCCUACCUCGUGAUCCCAUCUCCCUUCUCUUCCUCUCAUCGGUUGGCUGCCGGCCGGCGACGACGGUGAGGUGGUUGCUGGCGGGUGGGGGGAGCCGAGCCACCCUCAGGGUGGUCUUCCGUGGGUGAAGGGGGAGGAGGAAGGGAGGAAAGCAUGCCGAUUCUUGGGGGAAUAAGAAGAAGAAGAAGAAGAUAUCUCUUCUUCCCUCCUUCUCUUGGCCGGCGAUGAUGUGGCUAGUGGUGGCUGUGGUGUUGUCGGGUUGGGGAAGGAAAGGG
This 865-nucleotide long non-coding RNA is filed under the name Phoenix dactylifera (date palm). RNAcentral describes it as "long non-coding RNA (PDAC_LNC017501)". Lineage: Eukaryota; Viridiplantae; Streptophyta; Magnoliopsida; Arecales; Arecaceae. The record is from RNAcentral.